GACUGGGGUGAAGUCGUAACAAGGCAGCCGUAGGGGAACCUGCGGCUGGAUCACCUCCUUAAUCGA
This 66-nucleotide ribosomal RNA is filed under the name Pseudomonas salomonii. RNAcentral describes it as "partial 16S ribosomal RNA". It matches the Rfam family "Bacterial small subunit ribosomal RNA", at positions 1473 to 1533 of the family's 1533-position model. The record is from RNAcentral. Lineage: Bacteria; Pseudomonadati; Pseudomonadota; Gammaproteobacteria; Pseudomonadales; Pseudomonadaceae.